AAUAGAUACCCCGGUAGUCCACGCUGUAAACGAUGGAUGCUAGCUGUUACUCACAUCGACCUGAGUAGUAGCGAAGUUAACGCGUUAAGCAUCCCGCCUGGGGAGUACGGUCGCAAGAUUAAAACUCAAAGGAAUUGACGGGGACCCGCACAAGCGGUGGAGCGUGUUGUUUAAUUCGAUGGUAAGCGAAGAACCCUUACCCAGACUUGACAUCCUUGGAAGGCUUCCGAAAGGAGACUGUGCCCUUGGGAACCAAGUGACAGGUGUUGCAUGGCCGUCGUCAGCUCGUGUCGUGAGAUGUAUGGUUAAGUCCAUUAACGAGCGCAACCCUUAUGUUUAGUUGGAUUUUUCUAAACAGACUGCCCUGGCAACAGGGAGGAAGGAGGGGAUGACGUCAGGUCAGUAUUGCCCUUACGGUCUGGGGCUACAAACACGCUACAAUGGCCGGUACAAAGGGCAGCCAACCCGGCGAGGGGGGGGUCAAAGUCCCAUCAAAACCGGGUCUCAGUUCGGAUUGCAGGCUGAAACUCGCCUGCAUGAAGCCGGAAUCGCUAGUAACGGUG
This 563-nucleotide ribosomal RNA is filed under the name uncultured bacterium. Its description in RNAcentral is "bacterial SSU rRNA". It matches the Rfam family "Bacterial small subunit ribosomal RNA", at positions 777 to 1346 of the family's 1533-position model. The record is from RNAcentral.